GUCUAUGGCCAUACCACCCUGAACGCGCCCAUCUCGUCUGAUCUCAGAAGCUAAGCAAGGUCAGGCCUGGUUAGUACUUGUAUGGGAGAGAAGGAUGGACGGGUCAGAGAAA
Molecule: ribosomal RNA, 112 nt
Filed under: Dipodomys ordii (Ord's kangaroo rat)
Lineage: Eukaryota; Metazoa; Chordata; Mammalia; Rodentia; Heteromyidae
Source: RNAcentral